AAAUUAAAGAUUUAUCGGUGAUGGAUGGGGAUGCGUCUGAUUAGCUUGUUGGCGGGGUAACGGCCCACCAAGGCGGCGAUCAGUAGGGGUUCUGAGAGGAAGGUCCCCCACAUUGGAACUGAGACACGGUCCAAACUCCUACGGGAGGCAGCAGUGAGGAAUAUUGGUCAAUGGGCGAGAGCCUGAACCAGCCAAGUAGCGUGCGGGAUGACGGCCCUAUGGGUUGUAAACUGCUUUUAUAGGGGAAUAAAGUGAGCCACGUGUGGUUUUUUGCAUGUACCCUAUGAAUAAGGACCGGCUAAUUCCGUGCCAGCAGCCGCGGUAAUACGGAAGGUCCGGGCGUUAUCCGGAUUUAUUGGGUUCAAAGGGAGCGUAGGCCGGAGAUUAAGCGUGUUGUGAAAUGUAGAUGCUCAACAUCUGCACUGCAGCGCGAACUGGUUUCCUUGAGUACGCAUAAAGUGGGCGGAAUUCGUGGUGUAGCGGUGAAAUGCUUAGAUAUCACGAAGAACUCCGAUUGCGAAGGCAGCUCACUGGGGCGCAACUGACGCUGAAGCUCGAAAGCGCGGGUAUCGAACAGGAUUAGAUACCCUGGUAGUCCGCGCGGUAAACGAUGGAUGCCCGCUGUUGGGCCAACUGGUUCAGCGGCCAAGCGAAAGCAUUAAGCAUCCCACCUGGGGAGUACGCCGGCAACGGUGAAACUCAAAGGAAUUGACGGGGGCCCGCACAAGCGGAGGAACAUGUGGUUUAAUUCGAUGAUACGCGAGGAACCUUACCCGGGCUUGAAUUGCAGAGGAAGGAUUUGGAGACAAUGACGCCCUUCGGGGCCUCUGUGAAGGUGCUGCAUGGUUGUCGUCAGCUCGUGCCGUGAGGUGUCGGCUUAAGUGCCAUAACGAGCGCAACCCCUCUCCAUAGUUGCCAUCAGGUGAAGCUGGGCACUCUGUGGACACUGCCACCGUAAGGUGCGAGGAAGGUGGGGAUGACGUCAAAUCAGCACGGCCCUUACGUCCGGGGCUACACACGUGUUACAAUGGCAGGUACAGAGAGCCGGUCGUAUGCAAAUACGAUCCAAUCCUUAAAGCCUGUCUCAGUUCGGACUGGGGUCUGCAACCCGACCCCACGAAGCUGGAUUCGCUAGUAAUCGCGCAUCAGCCAUGGCGCGGUGAAUACGUUCCCGGGCCUUGUACACACCGCCCGUCAAGCCAUGAAAGCCGGGGGCGCCU
Molecule: ribosomal RNA, 1220 nt
Filed under: metagenome
Description: bacterial SSU rRNA
Rfam family: Bacterial small subunit ribosomal RNA
Source: RNAcentral